Molecule: ribosomal RNA, 465 nt
Filed under: Vreelandella stevensii
Lineage: Bacteria; Pseudomonadati; Pseudomonadota; Gammaproteobacteria; Oceanospirillales; Halomonadaceae
Description: partial 16S ribosomal RNA
Rfam family: Bacterial small subunit ribosomal RNA
Source: RNAcentral
CCUACGGGCUGCAGCAGUGGGGAAUAUUGGACAAUGGGCGAAAGCCUGAUCCAGCCAUGCCGCGUGUGUGAAGAAGGCCUUCGGGUUGUAAAGCACUUUCAGUGGGGAAGAAAGCCUUGGGGCUAAUACCCUCGAGGAAGGACAUCACCCACAGAAGAAGCACCGGCUAACUCCGUGCCAGCAGCCGCGGUAAUACGGAGGGUGCGAGCGUUAAUCGGAAUUACUGGGCGUAAAGCGCGCGUAGGCGGUCUGAUAAGCCGGUUGUGAAAGCCCCGGGCUCAACCUGGGAACGGCAUCCGGAACUGUCAGGCUAGAGUGCAGGAGAGGAAGGUAGAAUUCCCGGUGUAGCGGUGAAAUGCGUAGAGAUCGGGAGGAAUACCAGUGGCGAAGGCGGCCUUCUGGACUGACACUGACGCUGAGGUGCGAAAGCGUGGGUAGCAAACAGGAUUAGAUACCCGAGUAGUC